RNAcentral lists this ribosomal RNA (99 nucleotides) under Cercocebus atys (sooty mangabey). Lineage: Eukaryota; Metazoa; Chordata; Mammalia; Primates; Cercopithecidae. The record is from RNAcentral.
GUCUAUGGCCAUACCACCCUGAUCCGGGAAGCUAAGUAGGGUCAGGCCUGGCCAUUACUUGGAUGAGAGACCACUUGAGACUACAAGAUGCUGUAGUUU